UGUUAGCGGCGGCACGGGUGAGUAACACGUGGGUAACCUGCCUGUAAGACUGGGAUAACUCCGGGAAACCGGGGCUAAUACCGGAUGGUUGUUUGAACCGCAUGGUUCAAACAUAAAAGGUGGCUUCGGCUACCACUUACAGAUGGACCCGCGGCGCAUUAGCUAGUUGGUGAGGUAACGGCUCACCAAGGCAACGAUGCGUAGCCGACCUGAGAGGGUGAUCGGCCACACUGGGACUGAGACACGGCCCAGACUCCUACGGGAGGCAGCAGUAGGGAAUCUUCCGCAAUGGACGAAAGUCUGACGGAGCAACGCCGCGUGAGUGAUGAAGGUUUUCGGAUCGUAAAGCUCUGUUGUUAGGGAAGAACAAGUACCGUUCGAAUAGGGCGGUACCUUGACGGUACCUAACCAGAAAGCCACGGCUAACUACGUGCCAGCAGCCGCGGUAAUACGUAGGUGGCAAGCGUUGUCCGGAAUUAUUGGGCGUAAAGGGCUCGCAGGCGGUUUCUUAAGUCUGAUGUGAAAGCCCCCGGCUCAACCGGGGAGGGUCAUUGGAAACUGGGGAACUUGAGUGCAGAAGAGGAGAGUGGAAUUCCACGUGUAGCGGUGAAAUGCGUAGAGAUGUGGAGGAACACCAGUGGCGAAGGCGACUCUCUGGUCUGUAACUGACGCUGAGGAGCGAAAGCGUGGGGAGCGAACAGGAUUAGAUACCCUGGUAGUCCACGCCGUAAACGAUGAGUGCUAAGUGUUAGGGGGUUUCCGCCCCUUAGUGCUGUCAGCUAACGCAC
Molecule: ribosomal RNA, 788 nt
Filed under: Bacillus sp. (in: firmicutes)
Lineage: Bacteria; Bacillati; Bacillota; Bacilli; Caryophanales; Bacillaceae
Also listed under: 1 other name
Description: bacterial SSU rRNA
Rfam family: Bacterial small subunit ribosomal RNA
Source: RNAcentral